GAGUUUGAUCGUGGCUCAGAGCGAACGCUGGCGGCAUGCUUAACACAUGCAAGUCGCACGGUCAGCAAUGGCAGUGGCGGACGGGGUGAGUAACACGUAGGAAUCUAUCUCUGGGUGGGGGACAACAGUGGGAAACUACUGCUAAUACCGCAUGAUACCUGAGGGUCAAAGGCGUAAGUCGCCUGGAGAGGAGCCUGCGUCUGAUUAGCUUGUUGGUGGGGUAAAGCCUACCAAGGCUACGAUCAGUAGCUGGUCUGAGAGGAUGAUCAGCCACAUUGGGACUGAGACACGGCCCAAACUCCUACGGGAGGCAGCAGUGGGGAAUAUUGGACAAUGGGCGAAAGCCUGAUCCAGCAAUGCCGCGUGUGUGAAGAAGGUCUUCGGAUUGUAAAGCACUUUUGGCAGGGACGAUGAUGACGGUACCUGCAGAAUAAGCCCCGGCUAACUUCGUGCCAGCAGCCGCCGU
RNAcentral lists this ribosomal RNA (466 nucleotides) under bacterium enrichment culture clone ALO1_GLFRUDD03HALW5. Its description in RNAcentral is "bacterial SSU rRNA". It matches the Rfam family "Bacterial small subunit ribosomal RNA", at positions 9 to 521 of the family's 1533-position model. The record is from RNAcentral.